UGCCAGCAGCCGCGGUAAUACGGAGGGCGCGAGCGUUGUUCGGAAUCACUGGGCGUAAAGCGCGUGUAGGCGGCUUGGUAAGUCGGAUGUGAAAUCCCGGGGCUCAACCCCGGAACUGCAUCCGAAACUGCCUCGCUGGAGUCCCGGAGAGGAUGGCGGAAUUUCCGGUGUAGAGGUGAAAUUCGUAGAUAUCGGAAGGAACACCAGUGGCGAAGGCGGCCAUCUGGACGGUGACUGACGCUGAGACGCGAAAGCGUGGGGAGCAAACAGGAUUAGAUAC
RNAcentral lists this ribosomal RNA (280 nucleotides) under uncultured bacterium. Its description in RNAcentral is "partial 16S ribosomal RNA". It matches the Rfam family "Bacterial small subunit ribosomal RNA", at positions 506 to 785 of the family's 1533-position model. The record is from RNAcentral.